This 253-nucleotide ribosomal RNA is filed under the name uncultured bacterium. RNAcentral describes it as "partial 16S ribosomal RNA". It matches the Rfam family "Bacterial small subunit ribosomal RNA", at positions 524 to 776 of the family's 1533-position model. The record is from RNAcentral.
GACGAACCGUGCGAACGUUGUUCGGAAUCACUGGGCAUAAAGGGCGCGUAGGCGGCUUAUCAAGUCAGGGGUGAAAUCCGGCAGCUCAACUGUCGAAGUGCCUUUGAUACUGAUGAGCUCGAGGGAGGUAGGGGUCUGUGGAACUUCCGGUGGAGCGGUGAAAUGCGUUGAUAUCGGAAGGAACGCCGGUGGCGAAAGCGGGUUGCUGGGCUGACACUGACGCUGAAGCGCGAAAGCUAGGGGAGCGAACGGG